Long non-coding RNA from Chinchilla lanigera (long-tailed chinchilla), 458 nucleotides. RefSeq lists it as uncharacterized. NCBI's taxonomy places the organism in Eukaryota, Metazoa, Chordata, Mammalia, Rodentia, Chinchillidae. The record is from RefSeq and is a predicted model, not a curated record. The transcript has 3 exons.
UUUUUUCACUUCAGAGCCCUUCACAUAGUCACACUUUAUUCCCCUGUCAUCCAUCACCCAUCAAAAGAAGAGAUGGUACAACCAGUGGGAACCUGAGACUCUGAAACAGGAAGAAUUUGACUCUCGGCUUUCCCAGCCAGUGACCAAACUUGACUAGCCACAGUUUUCUUGCCAUCAUUUGCCCGAAUUAACAAGCUAGGACGCGUUCUAGUGGAGACCAGGGCCACUGCCAUUCCCACCUUCUCAGAGCCCCAUCGAUGGCCGGAAUGCCCCAGAGGAAGAGAAGACGUUCUUCAAAUUUCUUACUUAACUCUGCAGAGUGAGUGGCUGAAUGUGGAUAAAUCCCACGACUGUGUCUCACACCAGCUACCAAGUUCAGGAGGGUACAUGACAAGGAUCAAUCCAACAAAGAGAAAAUAUGCGUCGACUGGGCAGUGUGGCACAGCCCUACAAUCCCA